GUGAACGCUGGCGGUAGGCCUAACCCCUGCAAGUCGAACGGCAGCACAGUAAGAGCUUGCUCUUACGGGUGGCGAGUGGCGGACGGGUGAGGAAUACAUCGGAAUCUACUUUUUCGUGGGGGAUAACGUAGGGAAACUUACGCUAAUACCGCAUACGACCUACGGGUGAAAGCAGGGGAUCUUCGGACCUUGCGCGAUUGAAUGAGCCGAUGUCGGAUUAGCUAGUUGGCGGGGUAAAGGCCCACCAAGGCGACGAUCCGUAGCUGGUCUGAGAGGAUGAUCAGCCACACUGGAACUGAGACACGGUCCAGACUCCUACGGGAGGCAGCAGUGGGGAAUAUUGGACAAUGGGCGCAAGCCUGAUCCAGCCAUACCGCGUGGGUGAAGAAGGCCUUCGGGUUGUAAAGCCCUUUUGUUGGGAAAGAAAAGCAGCAGGUUAAUACCCCGCUGUUCCGACGGUACCCAAAGAAUAAGCACCGGCUAACUUCGUG
RNAcentral lists this ribosomal RNA (491 nucleotides) under uncultured bacterium. RNAcentral's name for it is "partial 16S ribosomal RNA". It matches the Rfam family "Bacterial small subunit ribosomal RNA", at positions 29 to 507 of the family's 1533-position model. The record is from RNAcentral.